UAGAAGUAGAUGAAGUGUUUG
RNAcentral lists this unclassified non-coding RNA (21 nucleotides) under Mus musculus (house mouse). RNAcentral describes it as "oocyte_clustered_small_RNA11817". Lineage: Eukaryota; Metazoa; Chordata; Mammalia; Rodentia; Muridae. The record is from RNAcentral.